RNAcentral lists this ribosomal RNA (1343 nucleotides) under uncultured bacterium. RNAcentral's name for it is "16S ribosomal RNA". It matches the Rfam family "Bacterial small subunit ribosomal RNA", at positions 28 to 1378 of the family's 1533-position model. The record is from RNAcentral.
GACGAACGCUGUCGGCGUGCUUAACACAUGCAAGUCGAACGGAAAGGCCCUGCUUUUGUGGGGUGCUCGAGUGGCGAACGGGUGAGUAACACGUGAGUAACCUGCCCUUGACUUUGGGAUAACUUCAGGAAACUGGGGCUAAUACCGGAUAGGAGCUCCUGCUGCAUGGUGGGGGUUGGAAAGUUUCGGCGGUUGGGGAUGGACUCGCGGCUUAUCAGCUUGUUGGUGGGGUAGUGGCUUACCAAGGCUUUGACGGGUAGCCGGCCUGAGAGGGUGACCGGCCACAUUGGGACUGAGAUACGGCCCAGACUCCUACGGGAGGCAGCAGUGGGGAAUAUUGCACAAUGGGCGGAAGCCUGAUGCAGCAACGCCGCGUGCGGGAUGACGGCCUUCGGGUUGUAAACCGCUUUCGCCUGUGACGAAGCGUGAGUGACGGUAAUGGGUAAAGAAGCACCGGCUAACUACGUGCCAGCAGCCGCGGUGAUACGUAGGGUGCGAGCGUUGUCCGGAUUUAUUGGGCGUAAAGGGCUCGUAGGUGGUUGAUCGCGUCGGAAGUGUAAUCUUGGGGCUUAACCCUGAGCGUGCUUUCGAUACGGGUUGACUUGAGGAAGGUAGGGGAGAAUGGAAUUCCUGGUGGAGCGGUGGAAUGCGCAGAUAUCAGGAGGAACACCAGUGGCGAAGGCGGUUCUCUGGGCCUUUCCUGACGCUGAGGAGCGAAAGCGUGGGGAGCGAACAGGCUUAGAUACCCUGGUAGUCCACGCUGUAAACGGUGGGUACUAGGUGUGGGGUCCAUUCCACGGGUUCCGUGCCGUAGCUAACGCUUUAAGUACCCCGCCUGGGGAGUACGGCCGCAAGGCUAAAACUCAAAGGAAUUGACGGGGCCCCGCACAAGCGGCGGAGCAUGCGGAUUAAUUCGAUGCAACGCGUAGAACCUUACCUGGGUUUGACAUGGAUCGGGAGUGCUCAGAGAUGGGUGUGCCUCUUUUGGGGUCGGUUCACAGGUGGUGCAUGGCUGUCGUCAGCUCGUGUCGUGAGAUGUUGGGUUAAGUCCCGCAACGAGCGCAACCCUUGUUCACUGUUGCCAGCACGUUAUGGUGGGGACUCAGUGGAGACCGCCGGGGUCAACUCGGAGGAAGGUGGGGAUGACGUCAAGUCAUCAUGCCCCUUAUGUCCAGGGCUUCACGCAUGCUACAAUGGCUGGUACAGAGAGUGGCGAGCCUGUGAGGGUGAGCGAAUCUCGGAAAGCCGGUCUCAGUUCGGAUUGGGGUCUGCAACUCAACCUCAUGAAGUCGGAGUCGCUAGUAAUCGCAGAUCAGCAACGCUGCGGUGAAUACGUUCCCGGG